Non-coding RNA from Taeniopygia guttata (zebra finch), 5130 nucleotides. The record is from RefSeq and is a predicted model, not a curated record. Lineage: Eukaryota; Metazoa; Chordata; Aves; Passeriformes; Estrildidae.
UAUACUUAACACUGUGUUUUUCUCCCCAAAAAAUAAUUAUGCCUAGUGAAUUUUUGAGAAUUUUUAUAUUAUCACAUAUGGUAAAUACUUAAUUGGAGGCAGCUGAACUGACACGAGCAAUAAUAUUCCAGAGUUUUUGGGUAUUCUCAUGUGACACCAGUAGAUUUUUUUCCCCCAAUUUAAUAGAUCAUUCCUAUUUUUUUCAUGGCAUGUUUUUGCAAAUUAUUUCUUUUACUUUUUAUUUUUCUAUCCAACAAUGUUCCUGGCAAGUUUUUUUCACGUAGCAGGCUAGCUGAUUUACUCUGCAACGUGCCACGUUGGGCAGCUGAUUGCUUGCACCUUGAAAAAUUGCAGAGUUCUGAAAAACAUUCCUUUUACUGGGCUGCUGAAUUGCAGGUGUGUGUGUCAUCUCACACCCCUGAGAUAUGGGGAGCAGAGAAUUAGUCCAGAAUUUGAGAAGCUGCCCUGCCUUCAGAGGAGAAAAACCAGUUUCCCUGGAUGCAUGCUAAAAGAAGUAGGAAGGAGGGAAGCAUGAGGGAUGGCUGAUGAAUGGAUGCAGAAGAAGCUCUGGACUCAGCAGGGCCCUGGCUGCCCAUGGUACACUGGAGACCAGCAGCAUCAGAGCCAGGAUCCCAUGGGAAAUGUUCCCUCCCCUCACCACUCUUCUCUGCACUGGUGUCAGAUGAAAAUGGCAAAACCAGGAAGUUUCUGCUGGAAAUUGAAUGAAGAUUUUUAUUAAUGUUUUCAUUAAUAAUCAUGUAUGACAUUCUGUCAAUACACAAAAAAGACACACACCUCUAUUCCCAUAGCUAAUUAUAUCAAUAUGUUAUUAUUAAUACACAGCAUCAGACACAAGCUUAAAUAUUUUACAUGGUGUGAAAUUCUAAUCUUUCUUUUCUAAUAGAAUGUGCUAAAAGCAAGCAGACCUCAUCUACCUGAAUGCAGAAUAGACAAAUGAACAAACCAGAAGCAGCAGGAAUGAGUGCCUGUACCACAUGUUCUUCAGGAAGAGGCACUGUGGUGUUGACUGUGGUAUUUACAUGCCUGUGUAGGUUACACACCUUUAAAAUAGAAAUGCUCAUGCAAGUAGGAGAAUUCAUAUCCUGAGAAAGGUGACACAGAAAUGUCUGUCUGUGAUUUAUUGAUUUGCAAUGCCAAGUAAGGUCAGCUCAGCAGCAAACAGAUAUCCUAUAUUAACUAUGCCUUUCCCUUGGGAAUACACAAGGAAAUUUCUGGUAACCAGAUAGAAAGCAUAACUUUUCAGGUUCACAUAAACUGUGGAUUAAUAUGGUCACUACAUAACUGUAUUUGCAUGAUUAAAACCACAUUUUCAAAUAUUUCUUCAAGCCAUAGAGAUCACCUGAAUAUGUAUGAAUUUGGAAUAGUCCAUAUUGCCCUCAUGGUAACUUGCCCGCUUGAUUAACCCAGAAGAGUUUACAAAUAUAUCUCAUCAUUAUAUCUCUCUGUCAGUCUUAGCAAAUGGCUUUUCAAAAAAAAAUACAGCAGGAAAAAACCCACAAACCCAAACAGACAGGAAGUACUGUGGCUAUACCUUUCUAUAGCCUGUACCCCUGCUGUCUGCUGACAGCACAAGGCAGACCAGACUCCCUUUCAAUACCUGAACCUUGGCAUUUUGUAGUUAACCACCAGGAAUGAUAUGCAGGGCAUCUGAAGGUUAGUUUGGAAGCUGGGCAAGGAGCCAAGAAACGUGUGUGGCAGCCACACCAAAACCCAUCAAUUUCACAGAUUUUCUACCCUUCCAGAGACUUGGAAAGAGUUAAAAGUGCAAGGAAUAUGGAGUGAGGUUCAAGAGCUGUUCAGAUGUAGCAGCAAUGAUCUACGUGCACCACGACACAUAACUCAACCUUUGAGUGCUGUGUUCAAAAAGAGCAAUGAAACACCCCUGGUUCCAAACACUGAGAAGGAGUAUAAAACCCAGUGUGCCAUGAGAAACAAAGCACCAUCAAGGGGAUCAGCAGAUCUAAAUGAGUUUUUCAUGGUAAUAAGUGCUGACUGACCUUGCCCAUUAACUAACUCACAUAUCUACAGCAGACACUGAAAUAUUAAAAGUGCACUAGCAAUAGGCUAAGUGGACAAAGUAAUCCUUUAGAAAGAAUUAAUUCGUAAUUUAGAAAGAAUUAAUAGUCCUCACUUAUAAAUACAACUGUUUUCCUGAAAGACAAUUUUCAGCAAUGUUCUUGAGGUAUCUAUCAGCUCAGAUCUGAACAAUACCACUGAAAAAUCAUUACACUUAUGUGGAACACCACCCCAGGCAUGGCACUUGAGUAGAACUGGACAAAAUUACCAUGCAACUGAGACACUAGCCUGUGGUUCGUUAAGUGGUUCCAACAGUAAUCUGGAGCUCUGGAGACUGGGGUUUACUCUCCUGCUUUGGAGCACAUAACCAAUGAAGUCUGAUGAGAUGACCUCAUGCAGCUGUGCCUAAACUUCCAGCCUGUAAAAUGGGAGUAUUGUUCCUUACUUCUCAGAAUGAAAAGAGAUACAUCAAGCACUUAAUUCUGUAUGCAUAGGACAAAUAAAGCUUCUGGGUGUGUACAUUUCCCCCUUUCUCUCACUUGCUACAGGGUUUUCAUCCUUUUUUGUGUGUCUCCAUGACAAAACAGGGAUGUGUAAUACCUAAUUCAAAUAACAGUUGGCACUUUAUUACAUAACUUUGCCUUUGCACUGCUUUUUCAUCCAAAAUAUCCCUUAAGGAUGUUUUUGACUAAUGUUUAUCUGCUACACAGUCAGUAAUAAGAAGACUCUGUGUAUAUAACAUGGUCAUCUUCUGACCAUUGCUUAGCUGCUACCAGUAAUCUAAAGUGAAUACAGAAAUUCACCAUUUUCAACACAAAGCCAGGUUUUCAGAUAGCACUAAGCACAUGAUUGAAGUGAGAGAGAUGUAAAAGACCAAAGAGCACACAGAAACUAGAAAUACCACAAUUGGUACAACAGAACAUUUGCUUGCUGGAAAUACUUGGCAUCUUCACAGAAUCACAGAAGGUCUGAGGUUGGCAGGGAACUGUGGAAAUCAUCCAGGCCAACCUCCCACACUCAAAGCAAAGUCUUCCACUGCAGAUUGCUCAGGACUGAGUCCACUCCAGUUCUGAGUAAGCCUGAGGAGGGAGACUCUACAACCUCUCUGAGCAACCUGCUCCAGUGUCUGAUCACAUCUACAGCAGGAAGUUUUAGUUUAAAUUUCCUGUGGUUAGCUAUCUGCAUUCUGAGUUCAGACCUGUGUCAGUAUGAUUUUUGUCAUUUUAUGUCGCAAAAAGUCUUUUAAGCCAGUUAAAACACAGGAACAUGUGCAAUAUAGUGAUAGAAGACAGCCAGCACCUUGGCAUCAGCAUUAGGGUACUACUUCUCUGAGUCAUACUUUGGUGAAUGAUUUUAGUGGGUUGACUGAAGGUUGAACUGCAGAAGGACAGCUGAUUAGUUUUGUGGUGUGUUUGUGGCAGUUUUUUAUUCAGAGGGAUAAGAAGUUGCUGGCAGAAGCAAAUUAGGUUUGAUUGAUGUCUACAUUUUUCUAGUACAUUACAAAAGCCACAAGACCUUCAAACCAUAUUAUAACUGUCCUCGGGCAGCUCUGUGGAGAGCUGUGCAAUAACAGAAAUAGCAUGACUUAAAUGCAGUAGAAGAGGGUUACAUCAUUUCAUAAAGAUGCUUCACUUAGGGUUGCUCAUUUUAUAUUUUAAAUCAAUUGUACUUCAUGCUGAAAAAUACAUCAGAACUUAACUGCUCUUUUAAAAAAGUGAUUUUUUUGAGGGCAAGGAAAGACAAAUCAUUGACUUUAAUAAAAAUGCAACCUUGAUUCUGAUCUGGAAAACAAGUCCCUAUGAAAAAAUAAUUGUGCUGAUCCUACCAAACAAUUACACAGAUGCUUCACACAGAUAGCAAGCCCCUAGAUAAUGACCUCUUUUCUCACUAUACAGAAGCAUUUCCAGGCAGUCUCAGUCCCCACAGAUUGCAACAACUCAUCACCCCAGUGUGCCUGCACACCCAUAAGAAUGGACUGAGUGCUUCUGUCAUCCUUGCAUGACAUGGAGCCAUCAUACAAACUUCAGUGUUUAUCAUAUAUUUCCUCCCAGAACACCACAACCAAAAAUAUAAAAUAAUAUAAUACCAAGACAGACUCCCUGUUGAUCUCAGAGACCUGUGCUAUUUCAGCUCUUGCUCAUCUUUGAAACAUUAAACUCUGAAGCAUCUUUUUAUGUUCUUGGAAAAGAUGUAGUACCAGGAAUGUCAUGAAAAUUUAAGCAAUUGUUCAUCCUCCUGUUGUCAUUAAGAAUUUUAUAUAGAAGCUAUCAUUAUUUUUCUUUGCUUAACACUUCUCUCAUUUCUUCUGCUCUUCACUGAGCCACUAAUAAUCACCUCACCCUAUUCUCUUUUUCUGCUUCGUCUCCCUUCUUAUGCAAGACAGGUUUGUUUUAAUAAAUCUUUUUAUUUCUAUACAUAAUGUCAUAACUGUGAUCUUCCCCAUAGUAGUUUACUGGUCCUAAACUCCUUCCAUUUUGGUGUUCAUAGGUUUCUGAUAUAGCAAUACCCUGGGGAAAAAUGCAAUUUUCCAAACAGAGCCAUAUUGGAGCCAAGUCAACAUAAAUUAUUAAUUCCUAUUCUAUAAUACAUGUAUCCACAGUACUACUCAAAAUUCUUCUGACUAUUUGUGCUGCAUUGUUCCAAAUUUCAACCCCCCCUCCCUUUUCUAAUAACUCCUUCUCUGCACAACUGGUUUACAGAUUUCUUGUGUUAUUUGGAUUAUUUUUCCUAAAACAGUUUUAUUUCAUGUGUCUGAGUUGCAUUCUAACCUUCCUAUCACCUCUCUAACAUCUUUAGCCUUAUCUUCUAAAAAUGAACAGGAGCCUUUCUGUAAACUCUUCAAGCACAGAGUCUGAUUUAAUUCCAUUUGCACUCGUUCUGCAUGCAACCAUGCAUGAUCAAGACCACCAGACAAUUGUAUGAUCACAAAUCAUAUCUAGGGUGGACCUAUCAUGUGGAUAAUUACUCUCCAGAUCAAUAGUUUUUGAUCUCACACUGCUAUCAGUAAACUUUCUUGAAUAUGCCUCCCAUAUAUUUACAUUUUUAAAUAAUGUAUAUGUGCUACUUUACUAACAUAUUAUUUACAUUAUGAAA